This 255-nucleotide ribosomal RNA is filed under the name uncultured bacterium. RNAcentral describes it as "partial 16S ribosomal RNA". It matches the Rfam family "Bacterial small subunit ribosomal RNA", at positions 524 to 776 of the family's 1533-position model. The record is from RNAcentral.
UACGUAGGCAGCAAGCGUUGUUCGGAAUUACUGGGCGUAAAGAGUGUGUAGGCGGUGCUCUAAGUUUGUCGUGAAAUCUCCCGGCUUAACUCGGGAGGGUGCGGCGAAAACUGGAAUGCUAGAGGAUGGGAGAGGGUAAGCGGAAUUCCUGGUGUAGCGGUGAAAUGCGUAGAUAUCAGGAGGAACACCUGUGGUGUAGACAGCUUACUGGACCAUUUCUGACGCUGAGACACGAAAGCGUGGGUAGCAAACAGG